This is a long non-coding RNA of Puntigrus tetrazona (Sumatra barb), 231 nucleotides long. RefSeq lists it as uncharacterized. The record is from RefSeq and is a predicted model, not a curated record. Lineage: Eukaryota; Metazoa; Chordata; Actinopteri; Cypriniformes; Cyprinidae. The transcript is spliced from 4 exons.
CAGAUAUCAGAGAGUCCGGCUCUCCAUUCACCGGACAGAGAGUGGUCUGAUGCUGAAGCUGUGCUGCUGAGACGCAGAGCCUCUGAUCCUCCAUCGCCUCGUCCCCUUCAGUCACUCGACGGAGCUUCAGAAGAGACCAGCAGCCGUAAGCAGCGGGAAGACUGUGAAAAGAAGCUAAGCAGAGGUCCAGAGACGCUGUUCCCUCACUCCACCAUCACUCCUCCAGGUCUG